GAAUCUACGCUUACCGAGUGCUCCCAACUCGCUCUCUCCGGCCUCAUCAAUCUUUUCUUCAUUUGCAUGCCACGUGUACAAGUUUGGUGAAGAAGCACCGCGUUCUUCACUUUACACGUGGCCAUUGUGGAGAGGGAGAGAGCCAGAGAAGGUUCUGUAGUGAAAGAAUCCUGGGGCUUAGCUCAUCGCUUCAAAUUCAAUCUAAGAAAUAAGUAAAUAACCGACUAUUGUCUAUUGAUCUAUGAUGCCGGAAAUGCAUGAAUCUAUGCUUACCGAGUGCUCCCAACUCGCUCUCUCUGGCCUCAUCUCGAACACCUCUUCAGCAUUGUGGACAACGGGAUCCCAGAGACCCUAGACUUAGAUCGAGAGGUAUUUUUAUUCUUUGUUUAUCUCUGCUCAAGUUUUAGUUUUUCUUUCUUAAAUUACAAGAUACCAGAAAAUACAUCUAAUAGAUCUGAAUCACCCGGAUCGUGUUAUCAUGGCGAGAAUGCUCGGUGGUUUAAGGGGGCUGGCAUUUUUGUUAUUCUUUCUGUUUGAGUUUUGCGAUGCGGAUUCCGGUGGUAGAAAUUGCGCGAGUAACAGUUCUCUGGUUGGUUUCGAGUCAGAAUUUCUUAUGGUUCAGCACCAGUUGAGAGGGGUGAUGAAAGUGAUUAAUGAUUGUUCAUUUACGGUUAGCGAAUUCGAUAUGAUUGAGGGUGCUGAUGUACACUGGUGGGGCGCCUUAGGUGAUGCUUUUGAGAAUCUAACGACCGGAUUUGUGAUAUCUGAUCAGCCGUUGAACAGAACGUACAAAAACGAAAGCUUCGUUGUUGUUCUGAACAAUAUCACAUUGGAUCAGAUCAAAGUGGUUGCCGUCUGGGACACACCAACAGGUUCGGAUUUUGGACAUGUUCUUCUUGAAAACCCUAGGAAUGGUUCGAACCCUUCGUCGAAUUCUUCAGCAUCUAGUUCUAAUUUGGCACCAUCACCCUCUCCGUUGGCUGGGAACAGUUCUGUUGGAGGAAAGAACCGGGUUUAUGAACAACCUACCAUGUUCGAUAACUGCAAGAUUCUUGCCAAUAAUUACCGUCUUAGGUGGACGUUGGCUCCUGAGGAGAACUUGAUUGACAUUGGGCUGGAGGCAGCUCAAGAAAGCCAAUACUAUAUGGCAUUCGGUUGGGCCAACCGCACGUCUUCUUCUGAGUUUAUGCUUCAUGCUGAUGUAGCUGUGACUGGCUUUACAGAGGAAGGUAUCCCUUUUGCUGAUGAUUAUUACAUUACCAGAUACAGUGAGUGCUUAAUGAAUAAGGAUGGUAAAGUUCAGGGUGUUUGUCCUGAUACGAUCUAUGAGGGAUCUGCCCCCAUUGGAUUGGUGGACAACACCAAGUUGGUAUAUGGACACAGAAAGGACGGAGUGUCCUUCAUCCGAUAUCAACGGCCUCUCAAAUCUAUUGACACAAAGUAUGACUUAACUGUGAACUAUACGGAUAACAUGACUGUAAUAUGGGCUCUGGGGCUGAUUAGACCUCCUGAUGCUCUCCGCCCAUAUUACCUUCCCCAAAACCAUGGUGGGCCUCCUCUUGUGACUUAUGGGCACCUGGUUCUCAAUGUAUCGGAGCAUGUAAAUGAUUGCUUAGGGCCAUUAGAAGCAGAACAGAAGGAGGAUCGGGACCUUAUUUAUGCAGAUGGAAAGACCCCGCUUAUUGUUACAACAAGUCCAGCAGUGCAUUACCCAAAUCCUCCCAAUCCUUCAAAAGUUCUCUAUAUUAACAAGAAAGAGUCUCCUGUCUUGAGAGUAGAAAGAGGGGUUCCAGUAAAGUUCUCAAUACAAGCUGGACAUGACGUUGCUUUAUACAUAACUUCUGAUCCAAUUGGUGGGAAUGCAACCUCUAGAAACACACCGGAAACUAUAUAUGCUGGAGGGCCAGAAGCUGAAGGAGUUCCAGCAAGUCCAACAGAAUUGGUUUGGUCACCUGACAGGAAUACACCAGAUCAGGUUUAUUAUCAAUCAUUUUAUGAACAGAAAAUGGGUUGGAAAGUUCAGGUUGUGGAUGGGGGUCUUUCGGAUAUGUACAAUAACAGUGUUGUUCUGGAUGAUCAGCAAGUUACAUUUUUUUGGACACUGUCCGGUGAUUCAAUAUCUAUAGCAGCUCGAGGUGAGAAAAAAAGUGGUUAUCUUGCAGUAGCAUUUGGUGGUGGAAUGGUGAAUAGCUAUGCUUAUGUAGGUUGGGUUGACAAUGAUGGCAAAGGCCACGUGAACGCAUACUGGAUUGAUGGGAAGGAGGCCAUAAGUGUGCAUCCUACUAAUGAGAAUUUGACACAUGCAAGAUGCAAGUCAGAGAAUGGUAUUAUCACUUUCGAGUUUACCCGUCCCUUGCAGCCUUCGUGUGCUCUAGGUAGUAGGCCAGAGUGCAACAAUAUUAUUGACCCCACAACUCCUCUUAAGGUUGUUUGGGCUAUGGGUGCUAGGUGGUCAGAGGAUCAUUUAAGUGAGAGAAAUAUGCAUUCUAUUACAAGUAGCAGACCUGUUCGUGUGCUGCUUAUGCGUGGCUCAGCAGAGGCAGAGCAGGAUCUGCGCCCAGUUUUAGCUGUGCAUGGAUUUAUGAUGUUUGUUGCUUGGGGCAUCCUGCUUCCAGGUGGAAUAUUGGCAGCCAGGUACCUAAAACACUUAAAGGGUGAUGGAUGGUUCCAGAUUCAUGUUUACUUACAGUAUUCGGGUUUAGCAAUUGUUGUGCUUGGUGUUCUUUUUGCUGCUGCUGAACUUCGGGGUUUCUUCAUUAACUCAGUACAUGUAAAGUUUGGAGUUAUUGCUAUACUUUUGGGUUGCUUUCAGCCCGUGAAUGCAUAUCUAAGGCCAAAAAGACCUGAUAAUGGUGAAGUGGCUUCCUCCAAAAGGAUCCUUUGGGAGUAUCUCCAUGUCAUGACGGGGAGAUGUGCCAUUGUAGCUGGAAUUGCAGCACUUAUUAGUGGGAUGAAUCAUUUAGGAGACAGAUAUGGAGGUGAGACUGUUCAUGGGCUUAACUGGGCUUUAAUAAUAUGGUUCUUGAUGGGUGCAUUACUAGUUGUGUACUUGGAAAAUGGUGAAAGAAAGAGAAGAAGGGACAGAAGCUUUGGAAAAAGCAAUUGGGUAUUGGGCAAUAUCGAGGAGGAUGACUCUACUGAUCUUCUGCACUCAAAUGGAACACAAGGGCUGCAUUCCUCUCAACAAAUGGAAGUUCAGUUAGAACCUCUGAACAGAUAGAUGUGUGCAAGGAGUUAGGCAGAUCAAAGAAUUUUUGUUAGUGAAGAGAUCUUUGUCAAGAACAAAUGGGACUAUUAUAUCUUGGAGCUUGGUUCACAAAGAAUUUUUUGGAUUGGGACAUAACUCGGUUUUGGUUUUUGAAAAUUUGUAUACAAAUAGGUUAUACUUGUAUAUCCCUUUGUACACGGGCUUUUGAAUCAUAUUAAUGAAUAUACCAUACCUUCUGACAAAAAGGGAGGAAAGGCUGAGCUUUUGGUCUGAUCCUGAUACUGAAUUAAAUCUGGGUAGAGACACUGGUAUUAGUGUUUUUUCGAAUGGGAAUAAAUUGGACUAGGAUCAUGUUUGAUGUGCCAAUAAAUGGUCUCAAAGAAACUGUAAGUUUGUUUUUUACUUUGCUUUAUUAAAUGCUUGGUAUGUGCCAUUUAUGGAAUUUGGGUUCUAGAAAAAUGAUGAUAUUGUACUUUCACAUGGAUUACCCCCCAGUCAAUUAUAUUUGGUUUGAAAGAAAAUAAUAAAGAAAUAGAAAGGCGAGUGUUGGAAGCUAGCUAAACAGAUGGGGUACAGGCACAUUGAAGUUGAAGGGGACUCAAAAGUAGUCAUUUCCUGGGUUACAAACAGCAGCCAUACCCAAUGGACGUUUAAACAUGUGAUUAGGGAAGUGGAAAAGAUUGCAAAGGAGGUAGAGGCUUAAGUCAAAUGGGCUCAAAGGAGUGCAAACGGGUUAGCUGAUUAUGUAGCAAAACAAGGGGCAUUGAGACAGCAACUGUUUUGGGCUGCACUGUAAUGAGGGACAGAAAAGAGGGUUCAAAUGGGAUCAUCACUCCCAUCACUAAGUUGUAUAAACUUUUUCUAAUCUGAGAGUUAAAUAAAAUUCAUGCUCACUGAGAAAAAAAAA
This is an RNA transcript of Nelumbo nucifera (sacred lotus), 4115 nucleotides long. It is a transcript of the gene named cytochrome b561, DM13 and DOMON domain-containing protein At5g54830, with no coding region annotated. Lineage: Eukaryota; Viridiplantae; Streptophyta; Magnoliopsida; Proteales; Nelumbonaceae. The record is from RefSeq and is a predicted model, not a curated record.